This 87-nucleotide transfer RNA is filed under the name Phycisphaeraceae bacterium. RNAcentral's name for it is "tRNA-Leu". It matches the Rfam family "tRNA". From Rfam's summary of the family: Transfer RNA (tRNA) molecules are approximately 80 nucleotides in length. Their secondary structure includes four short double-helical elements and three loops (D, anti-codon, and T loops). RNAcentral also lists the same sequence under 1 other name. Lineage: Bacteria; Pseudomonadati; Planctomycetota; Phycisphaerae; Phycisphaerales; Phycisphaeraceae. The record is from RNAcentral.
GCGGUCGUGGCGGAAUUGGCAGACGCGCUAGGUUCAGGUCCUAGUGGGGCUAAACACCCCGUGGAGGUUCGACUCCUCUCGACCGCA